GCAAAUGACAUUUAAAUGUCAUUAUUCCACUCUGAGUUUUGAAUGAUUUUAGCCAGGUACAGAAUUCUAGGCCAACCAUUCAAAAUUACAGUGCUGUUACUCCAUUGACCUUUGGUCUUUAUCUUUUCCCUUUAUCUUCUGCAAAACCAUGUCCAGAUCUGAAUUUAUUGUAUUUAUUUUGUUUGGCCCUUGAGGGAUACCUUGAAUACUUUCAGCAAUUAUCUCUUCAAUCAAUGUUUCUCUGGUAUUAAUUUUUAAAUAUUUUUUAGUUGUCAAUAGACCUUUAUUUUAUUUAUUUAUAUGUGGUGCUGAGAAUUGAACCCAGUGCCUCACACGUGCUAGGCAAGUGCUCUACCACUGACCCACAACCCAGCCCCUCUGGUAUUUUUCAGCCUAGUCGUACUUACUCCCCGAGUCCCUGAAUUCCUCUUACACAUUUAUUGAAGCCUCUCAUCUACUUUCUGUAUCUUGGUCCUUUAAUUUUUAAUUUUUCUGAGCUUUUAUUUUUGUAAAUUCCUUAGAACUAUCUUCCAGUUCAGUUUUCUCUUUAGCUAUGUACAGCCUGGGUUUUAUUCCUAUACUGAGUGCCCCCCCCCCAAAAAAAAUAACCUAAUUUUUUAUAUCUAAGAUUUCUUUAUUUUCCAUUUUUGUAUCUUCCUUAUUUCAUUCUUUUUUAUUUUUUAAAUAAUUUCCCACUAUUUUUUAAGGAUGUUAUUUUUUCAAUUGUCUCUUGAAGGAUACUAACCAGCAUACAUAUUUAAAGUAUUGGCCAGGUUGUUUCAUUAUUUUAAUUUCUUCUAAAGUGAAUUCAUUUCUUUGUUGUUGAUUUUGCUUCUGGUCCUUUAAUGUAAGUUUCCUUCAAUUAAAUGAAUCUUUUUUUAAAAAUUAUUUUAGUUGUUGAUGUACCUUUAUUUUUUGCUUAUUUAUAUGUGGUGCUGAGGAUAGAACCUGGUGCUUCACACAUUCUAGGCAAGUGCUGUGCCACUGAGCCACAAUCC
This 998-nucleotide long non-coding RNA is filed under the name Marmota monax (woodchuck). The record is from RNAcentral. Lineage: Eukaryota; Metazoa; Chordata; Mammalia; Rodentia; Sciuridae.